Molecule: ribosomal RNA, 408 nt
Filed under: uncultured bacterium
Lineage: Bacteria
Description: partial 16S ribosomal RNA
Rfam family: Bacterial small subunit ribosomal RNA
Source: RNAcentral
GACGAACGCUGGCGGCGUGCUUAACACAUGCAAGUCGAACGAAGUGGCGAACGGGUGAGUAACGCGUAAUCAACCUGCCCUUCAGAGGGGGACAACAGUUGGAAACGACUGCUAAUACCGCAUACUGAAGGAGGGGCUUGCGACUGAUUAGCUAGUUGGAGGGGUUACGGCCCACAAAGGCGAUGAUCAGUAGGCGGUCCGAGAGGGUGAACGGGGCCAUUUGGAAUGGAGCCCGGCCCAAGCUCCUACGGGGGGCAGCAGUGUGGAAUGUUCCGACAUGGGCAAAAGUCUGACGGGGCAACGCCCCGUGAGUGAUGACGGCCUUCGGGUUGUAAAGCUCUGUUAAUCGGGACGCGGUACCGGAAUAAGAAGCCGCGGCUAACUCCGUGCCAGCAGCCGCGGUAAUUC